UACGGGGGGAGCAAGCGUUGUUCGGAUUUACUGGGCGUAAAGGGCGCGUAGGCGGCCUUCUUAGUCGGACGUGAAAUCCCCAGGCUUAACUUGGGAACUGCGUCCGAUACUGGGAGGCUUGAGUGCGGGAGAGGGAUGUGGAAUUCCAGGUGUAGCGGUGAAAUGCGUAGAUAUCUGGAGGAACACCGGUGGCGAAGGCGGCAUCCUGGACCGACACUGACGCUGAGGCGCGAAAGCUAGGGGAGCAAACGGG
This 253-nucleotide ribosomal RNA is filed under the name uncultured bacterium. RNAcentral describes it as "partial 16S ribosomal RNA". It matches the Rfam family "Bacterial small subunit ribosomal RNA", at positions 524 to 776 of the family's 1533-position model. The record is from RNAcentral.